AGCUUUGUGCAGUGGCAGUAUCAUAGCCAAUGAGGUUUAUCCAAGGUGCGAUUAUUGCUAAUUAAAAGGCAUACAACACUGUAUAUAGUAUAAUUAUUUAAUUAUUGUAAUAAAUACAUAAUU
RNAcentral lists this small nuclear RNA (123 nucleotides) under Canis lupus familiaris (dog). RNAcentral's name for it is "U4 spliceosomal RNA (multiple genes)". It matches the Rfam family "U4 spliceosomal RNA". From Rfam's summary of the family: U4 small nuclear RNA (U4 snRNA) is a component of the major U2-dependent spliceosome. Lineage: Eukaryota; Metazoa; Chordata; Mammalia; Carnivora; Canidae. The record is from Rfam by way of RNAcentral. RNAcentral also lists the same sequence under 1 other name.